GACGAACGCUGGCGGCGUGCCUAAUACAUGCAAGUCGAACGCAGUGGGGACGGGUGAGUAACACGUGGUUAACCUCCCAUCAGAGGGGAUACCACUUGGAAACAGGUGCUAAACCGAUACUGAUGGAUGGACCCGCGUGUCAUGAGCUAGUUGGUGAGGUAACGGCUAACAAAGGCCACGCUGCAUAGCCGACCUGCGAGGGUGGUCGUCCACACUGUGAUUGAGACACGGCCCAGACUCCUACGGGAGGCAACAGGAGGGAAUCUUCGGCAAUGGACGAAAGUGUGACCGAGAAACGCCGCGGGAGUGAAGAAGGUUUUCGGAUCGUAAAACUCUGUUUUUAGAGAAGCGGUAUCUAACCAGAAAGCCACGGCUAACUACGUGCCAGCAGCCGCGGUAAUUG
This 403-nucleotide ribosomal RNA is filed under the name uncultured bacterium. RNAcentral's name for it is "partial 16S ribosomal RNA". It matches the Rfam family "Bacterial small subunit ribosomal RNA", at positions 28 to 527 of the family's 1533-position model. The record is from RNAcentral.